GAUGAAGAACGCAGCUAAAUGCGAUAAGUAAUGUGAAUUGCAGAAUUCAGUGAAUCAUCGAAUCUUUGAACGCACAUUGCGCCCCUUGGUAUUCCGAGGGGCAUGCCUGUUCGAGCGUCAUUAUAACCCCUCAAGCUCAGCUUGGUGUUGGGGCCUGCUGCACUGGCAGCCCUUAAAAUCAGUGGCGGCGCCAUCUGGCUCUAAGCGUAGUAAUUCUUCUCGCUAUGGAGUCCUGGUGGAUGCUUGCCAUCAACCCCCAAUUUUUCUAUGGUUGACCUCGGAUCAGGUAGGGAUACCCGCUGAACUUAAGCAUAUCAAUAAGCGGAGGA
RNAcentral lists this unclassified non-coding RNA (329 nucleotides) under soil metagenome. Its description in RNAcentral is "partial contains 5.8S ribosomal RNA, internal transcribed spacer 2, and large subunit ribosomal RNA". The stretch from base 1 to 120 matches the Rfam family "5.8S ribosomal RNA", at positions 35 to 154 of the family's 154-position model. The record is from RNAcentral.